GAAAUGAAGGUUUUUUUUCUUUGUUAAUGGUGAAGAAAUUAACAAUUUCUUUGUUGUGUAACCCUAUGUAGAUACUAGAUAUUCGUUAAUGAAUUUUUUAUUUGUUUUUUAUACCUUAUUUUGAUAUACAAUCAGGUCCAUUAAUGGUCAUCUUUCAUACACACUCAAACGAGAUUCGAAAAUUUCAAAUAAUAUAUCAUACAAAUGUAUUGAAAUAAUAAAGGAGAUGAAAUGGACACCAAG
RNAcentral lists this long non-coding RNA (243 nucleotides) under Linum usitatissimum (flax). RNAcentral's name for it is "long non-coding RNA (LUSI_LNC004635)". Lineage: Eukaryota; Viridiplantae; Streptophyta; Magnoliopsida; Malpighiales; Linaceae. The record is from RNAcentral.